This 237-nucleotide long non-coding RNA is filed under the name Cyanistes caeruleus (blue tit). Its description in RNAcentral is "lncRNA (ENSCCEG00000009505.1)". The record is from RNAcentral. Lineage: Eukaryota; Metazoa; Chordata; Aves; Passeriformes; Paridae.
AUUCCAGUGGGCCUGAAAGGGAUCUCUACACACUAACAAGUACAAAUGAAUAACAACAGAACAAGAAUGCUGUCUUUUCUUAAAGCAUCUUAAAUCCCUUUUUCUAUUCCUAGACACUUCACAGUGCUUAAUGAGCAUGUGAGAAAAAGCCACGAAAGGACAUUGCUUUGAAAGCAAAUGCUUGCUUGCAAUUUUGUAUGGACCAUGUGCUACCAGUUUUACCCAUUUCCACAGAAG